CGCAUGUGGAGAUAGACGCCUCACAACGGAAAGAAAAGGAAUAACAGCCGCCAUUAUCAUUAGCGUUCGCAUUCUACGUCGCAUUUGUUCUCGUUAAAGUCCACAUAUAAUUAAUGUGCAUGAGACAUGGGCAGGGAAAGAUGUGCAUGUACUUCUUUCCAAAGUUGACGCAUACAAACUGUUUUAUUGGGAUAUUGAGAAGACUGGUCCCAACAAGGAGCUUGAGAGUGAGGUGAUCAAUGCAUAUUUAACACUGCUUAUUCGAAAAUACCAAUGCAAUGCUGGUGAAGCAGCUGUUAUUGACAGCUAUGCAAUGACCGCAAUCUGGCAGGGAAAAUUUGGAAGAAUACGGAUUGAUCCAAUGGCACACAAAGUUAUUGCGGGAAUUGUGAAUGAGCACCAUCGUUGGAUGUUGGUGUUUGCAGAGAAAAUUUUACAGUGGCAGGCAAUAAAUAUUGACACUUCGCAGAAGGCAGUGGACAAGUUGAGGCUGGACAUAGCCACUUCCCUCCUCAGAGAAUCUGAUGAUCUAAGCAGUCUGUGCUUUUAUUGUGGAAUGGAGGACCAGGAUGAAGCAUAAUGGGUUUGCUGUGAUGGCUGUGAAAGGUGGUACCACCAUGAAUGCGUGAACAGGCCUCCAGUGGAUGAGGAGUACUUGUGUCCGGCAUGUGCACAAUGGUGUCCCUUGUUGUACUGUCUUUUUAUUUAUUACCUGCGACAACAGUAUUUUGAUAGUAUUUAAUUUAUUACUUAGUAAAUUUAAUUUUUAUUAUUUAAUUGUGUUAUUUCAUUUUUAUUUCUAUAUUUAAUAUUUAUUAUUAAAAUUUUUUUUACAAAAGUUAAUUCAUUAAAAAAAAAAAACUGAGAUGGUUUUCAGUACUUUAUUACAAUAAAAUUUGUGUAUGCUCCCAACGAGUUUGUGUAUACAUUUCCCAAAAAAAUGAAUAUGGGUGAAUAUGUUCAACCACUAGGCUUAAAACUUUCAUUCAUAUAACACUAUCUCAGUGGGAGUUGGUGAAAAUGUUGGUGCCAGUGUCAAAUAAUUUGGAGGGUAUAGUGGUAGGGCCGAUGUGGUGAAGUGGGUGAGUUUCAUGUUUGUGGCACUUUCCUACAGGGAGAUAUGAGGGGCUGCAUUUCCUGACAAAGGAGCUCGCCGUGAAAAGCAUUACAUUUGUUCUAUCUAAGUGUGAGCUCAGAAGAAGCCUAUUCAAAAGCCCAUUUUUGAAAUAGCAUCCAAUCUAAACAAAAAGUCAAUACAUUUUAUUUUUCAUUUCACGCAAACACAAAAUCCCAAUGUGUUACA
This is an RNA transcript of Pangasianodon hypophthalmus (striped catfish), 1303 nucleotides long. RefSeq lists it as uncharacterized. Lineage: Eukaryota; Metazoa; Chordata; Actinopteri; Siluriformes; Pangasiidae. The record is from RefSeq and is a predicted model, not a curated record. The transcript has 7 exons.